Non-coding RNA from Lolium perenne, 2932 nucleotides. Lineage: Eukaryota; Viridiplantae; Streptophyta; Magnoliopsida; Poales; Poaceae. The record is from RefSeq and is a predicted model, not a curated record.
CUCUCCUCGCGCGGCGCAACGCAAACAAAAGCGAACCCAAGACAAGAGAGAGAACCCCUCUCAAAACCCUAGAACACUAGGCACCGCCCGCCGCCACGCGCAAGACAGCAGAGAAGGAGGACGAAUCCAAGCCUCCGCCAUGCCGAAAUCCAAGCGCAAUCGCGCAGUUACCUUGUCAAAGACCAAGAAGAAGCCAGGUCUAGAGCGUAAGGGCAAGGUGGUCACGGAAAUCAAAGACGCCAUCGAGCGCCACAGCAGCGCCUAUGUCUUCACCUACAAUAACAUGAGGAAUCAGAAGCUCAAGGACUUAAGGGACCAACUGAAGUCCUCUAGCAGGAUAUUUCUUGCUGGAAAGAAGGUCAUGCAGAUCGCAUUGGGGCGUUCACCUGCUGAUGAAGCAAAAACAGGCCUGCAUAAACUUUCCAAGUACCUUCAAGGUAAUACUGGAUUGUUAUUCACGAAUCUCCCAAGGGAUGAUGUUGAGAGAUUAUUUCGAGAAUUCGAAGGGCUUGAUUUUGCAAGGACAGGAAGUAUUGCCACCGAAACGGUGGAGCUAAAGGAAGGUCCUCUGGAAAAGUUUUCCCAUGAAAUGGAACCCUUUAUACGCAAACAAGGACUGCCAGUUCGUCUAAACAAAGGUGUUGUUGAAUUAAUUGCUGACCAUGUAGUUUGUGAAGAAGGGAAGCCUUUCACCAGAAGCAGCACACACUCUGAUUACAAUCAGGACAGGGCAUGGUGUUGAUUUGGGAGUUUUCGGCGGUUUUCUGUAAUUGAUAUGCGCGGUUCUCUGCUUUGAUGAACUGUGAGUUUGGGUUAAGGUGUACUCCCUUUGAUCGGCAUCUGAUCAUACCCUUUGAGGCGGGCUCUUUAUUGAGUCAUGAUUUAUUAUCGGAUUAUUGUGCUUCAGGUACAGGGAACACCAUUUGUAAAAUUACAGGUUGCAACAUGAAAGUUCUGGUUACAUCUCAAUGGCAGUUAAUCGUAUCAUAUUCUUGCAAAUAGAGGUACCAUUCCUCCUGUUACAGAAUCAAAUAAGGCAUCUGAAUGUAAAUUCGAGAACCAAAUUUUUUACUAUUAAGCACAAGAAAGGCUUGACAUCGUCUAGCUCAGGUCCCAUGUUGGUUCAUGUCUUAAAUAGGGCAUCACCAGGCCUCUUGUGUGGUUAGGGACCUGUUGUGAGGUUAGAGUAGGCAGAAAAUUCAGACUAGUAGCUGGACAUACACAUGGUUAGUGACUCUGGUUGGAAUAUAGGCCACUGGCGAGAGUAGCAGGUGAUCCAUGGAACGGCACUUGAAUGCACAGCUAAUUCUCACUGUACAUGCAUAUAUCGAUUCAUCACCAAAUCCCACAUAUCCAUAAAUUCCGCAAUCGCAGGCACAGAAGGUGCACCCCUGAUCAUGUGUACUGUCAACAGGUCACCGAAAUCCAUGGAACGGCACUUGAAUGCCAGCUAAUUCUCACUGUACAUGCAUAUAUCAAUUCAUCACCAAAUCCCACAUAUCCAUAAAUUCCGCAAUCGCAGGCACAGAAGGUGCACCCCUGAUCAUGUGUACUGUCAACAGGUCACCGAAACCUAUGGCCUAGGGGAGUAGCUAUCCUAUGUAAUCAGUGUCUGAGUUUGGCAGAAAAUUCAGACUAGUAGCUGGACAUAGACCUGGUUAGUGACCCUGGUUGGAACAUAGGCCACUGGGUGAGAGUAGCAUGUGAUCCAUGGAACUGCACUUGAAUGCACAGCUAUCAGUUCUCACUGCACUUACAUAUAUCAAUUCAUCACCUCGACGAACUAUUGCAUCAUCCAUCAGGAGAUGGAUCGUGUCCUGGUUGAGUUGUUCCUAAGAUGUAGUUAGCAUUCAGCAGCUGAUCUGCAUGGGCAUGAAGGACCUGGAGGGUGGCGUCUGGUACAACCUGGGGGCCUUGAUUUCCGGGUGGUCCUGGUUGUUGGGGUCCUUGGUUAGGCGGCUUCUUCGGAUCCUGCUUGCCAGCUUCUACCUCCUCAUCUGCUGCUGCUGCUGCUGCUGCCUGCUCAUUGUACCAGGAAGAUGCUAUUGGUCAGAGAAGUCCCUGUGGAUGCAAGAUGGAUGAGACACCUCCGGCGGACACUCUCUGGCAAUGCAAUCACCCAGUUCACUGAGAUUUGGACUCUGCUGGAACAUAUUCAGCCGAACGCUGACGUCCCCGACUUAGUGACUUGGAAGUGGACGGAUGGAGGCCUGGCUGGCAAGGUGCAACCUGCUGCAGUUUUCAGGCCUGGCCGGGAAAUCGGAUUCCAGAUUUUCUCAUGGCUCGCCGUCCGUGGCAAGUGUUUGACAGUAGAUAACCCGCUGAAGCAAGGCUGUACUUGCAAUCCCAUAUGCUCGCUUUACAGAAUUAUGCCCGAGGCUUCAGUUCACCUCCUUGCGGAGUUCUCCUUCAUCAGAGCUCUUUGGCAGUUGAUCCUGGAUCACUGCCACCCCCCAAUGCCAGCCAUGCGAGUAAACAGUGACGUCAAACUUCUGGAUCAACGGUCUGUCUCAGCUUACUCCGUUCCAGAGCCUCAUUGGCGGGCUUUGAGUUCUCUCCUUCAGUUAGUUUGGUGGUCAUCAUGGAAGGGGCGUAACCAGAGGGUGUUCAGAAGCAAUGCUAUUUCAUUCUAGGUGUUCGCCCAAAAUCAUAGUGGAGCUAUCAAUGUGGCAUCAGGCCGGACGCAACAGAACCAGGAAGCUGAUAGACACAUCCCGAGAGCGGGACUGAAUUUAGUUAGCCAGGCGCGAUUUUUCCUGAUUGCUUGCAUGGAGUAGCUGUUUCUGUCACUUUUUUUUUUGACAACUAGUAGCUGUUUGUAUCUUCUUUGAGCCAUGUACGAGACGAAAAGGCCCUUGUAAAACUCUCUUUUUCCUCUAAUAAUGAUCAAUGAAAAGCUGCCCUGGGUUCGUCAGGCACCCAGCUUUGGUUA